CAGCCGCCGCGGUAAAACGGAGGGUGCAAGCGUUAAUCGGAAUUACUGGGCGUAAAGCGCACGCAGGCGGUCUGUCAAGUCGGAUGUGAAAUCCCCGGGCUCAACCUGGGAACUGCAUUCGAAACUGGCAGGCUAGAGUCUUGUAGAGGGGGGUAGAAUUCCAGGUGUAGCGGUGAAAUGCGUAGAGAUCUGGAGGAAUACCGGUGGCGAAGGCGGCCCACUGGACAAAGACUGACGCUCAGGUGCGAAAGCGUGGGGAGCAAACAGGAUUAGAUACCCCUGUAGUCCCUGUCUCUUAUAC
Molecule: ribosomal RNA, 301 nt
Filed under: uncultured bacterium
Lineage: Bacteria
Description: partial 16S ribosomal RNA
Rfam family: Bacterial small subunit ribosomal RNA
Source: RNAcentral